This is a non-coding RNA of Nomascus leucogenys (northern white-cheeked gibbon), 290 nucleotides long. It matches the Rfam family "Metazoan signal recognition particle RNA". Rfam says of the family: The signal recognition particle (SRP) is a universally conserved ribonucleoprotein. NCBI's taxonomy places the organism in Eukaryota, Metazoa, Chordata, Mammalia, Primates, Hylobatidae. The record is from Rfam.
GCCAGACGCGGCUGUAGUCUCAGCUACUAAGGAGGCUAAGGCAGGUGGAUCACUGGAGUCCAGGAGUUCUGGGCUGUAGUGCGCUCUGCCGAUCAGGUGUCUGCACCAAGUUCGGCAUCAAUCUGAUGUCCUCCAGGAAGACCGGAGCCACCAGAUUGCCUAGGGAGAGGUGAACUGGCCCAGACUGGAAAGAGAACAGGUCAAAACUCCACUGCUGAUCAGUAGUGGGAUUGUGCCUAUGAAUAGCCACUGCACUCCAGCUUGGACAACCUAGGCAGAACCUACCUCAA